GUGGCAAGUAGGGAUCAUAUUAGAAUAGACAAAACUAUAUCAUGCCUUCCCACAACGACUGAGUGCAUGAUGCAGGAAACUAGUCUUCUCACCCGUUGUGUCAUUGGUUUUCCAUGUUGUCCCGGGCAUGAAGAGCCUCCUAAUGAUAUCGUCCAAGUCAUAUCUGCGAAGCCCUUGCUCUAAAUUAUCCUUGCCAUCACAGCUAGGCAUCGUCAAAAUUGAAUUAAUGGAUUGACUGUCAUACACCACUGAUCGCCCCUGACUUAAACAACAGCUAGACCGUCAGCAUUGACAUUUUCAUAAAACUUACGGACCACGGAGACGAUAGCCGACUCAGGAGAUUUUGUAAAGUG
Molecule: long non-coding RNA, 353 nt
Filed under: Panax ginseng (ginseng)
Lineage: Eukaryota; Viridiplantae; Streptophyta; Magnoliopsida; Apiales; Araliaceae
Description: long non-coding RNA (PGIN_LNC001269)
Source: RNAcentral